GAUAAACGCUGGCGGCGUGCCUAACACAUGCAAGUCGCACGUCCUUUCCCUUCGGGGAGAGGGAGUGGCGGACGGGUGAGUAACACGUGGGUAACCUACCUUUGAGUGGGGAAUACCGGCGAGAAAUCGCUGACAAUUCCGCAUACGCUUGCUUUGGCAAGCAAAGCCGAAAGGCGCUCGAAGAUGAGCCCGCGCCCGAUUAGCUAGCUGGUGGGGUAAUGGCCUACCAGGGCAAUGAUCGGUAGCUGGUCUGAGAGGACGAUCAGCCACACUGGGAUUGAGAACGGCCCAGACUCCUACGGGAGGCAGCAGUGAGGAAUUUUCCGCAAUGGACGCAAGUCUGACGGAGCAACGCCGCGUGCAGGAUGAAGGUCUGCGGAUCGUAAACUGCUUUUACCAGGGAAGAGAAUGGACGGUACCUGGAGAAUAAGCCCCGGCUAACUACGUGCCAGCAGCCGCGGUAAUACGUAGGGGGCGAGCGUUAUCCGGAUUUAUUGGGCGUAAAGCGCACGCAGGCGGUCGUGUAAGUGGAAGGUCACAGCUCCUGGCUUAACCGGGAGAGCGUCUUCCAAACUGCAUGACUUGAGAGCGAGAGAGGGACAUGGAACUCCGGGUGAAGCAGUGAAAUGCGUAGAUAUCCGGAAGAACACCAAGGCGAAGGCAAUGUCCUGGCUCGUGUCUGACGCUCAGGUGCGAAAGCGAGGGGAGCGAACGGGAUUAGAUACCCCGGUAGUCCUCGCCGUAAACGAUGACCACUAGGCGUGGGAGGCAUCGACCCCUUCCGUGCCGCAGCUAACGCGAUAAGUGGUCCGCCUGGGGAGUACGGUCGCAAGACUAAAACUCAAAGGAAUUGACGGGGACCCGCACAAGCAGCGGAGCGUGUGGUUUAAUUCGAUGCAACGCGUAGAACCUUACCAGGGUUUGACAUGCACGCGCACCGUCCAGAGAUGGACGUGCCCGCAAGGGACGCGUGCACAGGUGCUGCAUGGCUGUCGUCAGCUCGUGCCGUGAGGUGUUGGGUUAAGUCCCAGAACGAGCGCAACCCCUAUGGGUAGUUGAAACUCUCUAACCAGACUGCCCACUUGAAAGUGGAGGAAGGUGGGGAUGACGUCAAGUCAGCACGGCCCUUACAUCCUGGGCCACACACACGCUACAAUGGCCGGUACAAAGGGCAGCGAACUCGCAAGGGGGAGCCAAUCUCACAAAAUCGGUCUCAGUUCGGAUUGGAGGCUGCAACCCGCCUCCAUGAAGCUGGAGUUGCUAGUAACCGUGGGUCAGCACACCACGGUGAAUACGUUCCCGGGUCUUGUACACACCGCCCGUCACACCACGAAAGUCGGCAACACCUGAAGCCGCCGGGCUAACCCUUCGCGGGAGGCAGGCGUCGAAGGCGGGGUCGGUGAUUGGGGUG
Molecule: ribosomal RNA, 1411 nt
Filed under: uncultured Ktedonobacter sp.
Lineage: Bacteria; Bacillati; Chloroflexota; Ktedonobacteria; Ktedonobacterales; Ktedonobacteraceae
Description: bacterial SSU rRNA
Rfam family: Bacterial small subunit ribosomal RNA
Source: RNAcentral